GCAGAUGCCCCUUUCCUGCAGUCUCCCCAUCCCUCCUGUCGGCCUCGGUAUUGGUCCUGUUCCCCCUCCUUCCCGCGGGUCUGCGGAGGGGCAGAGGCAGAGUGUGGCUUCCAUCCAUCGUGUGGGAUAGGGCUUCGCUUCUGUGAGUCUGCUCUAGAAGCUGAUUGUGAGCUGCUGGCCUGAGCUGCUCCCCCCAUCUUGGGAGCAACAAGGGAGCUGUGGGCAACUGCGUCACCACCAUGGUGCACAACCGCUACACCCCCUCGGAGAGGGCGCCCCCGCUCAAGAGCUCCAACCAGACCGCCCCCUCCCUCAACAACAUCAUCAAGGCAGCCACCUGUGAGGGCAGCGAGAGCAGCGGCUUCGGGAAGCCACCGAAGAAUGUCUCCAGUGCCACCCACUCGGCCCAGAACAACGCUGGGGGCAGCACGGGCCUGCCCAGGUGGAAGGAGGUGACGGAGGAGGAGGCUGAGAGGUUUAUCCACCAGGUGAACCAGGCCGCUGUCACCAUCCAGCGCUGGUACCGCCACCACGUGCAGCGGCGUGGAGCAGGAGCUGCCCGCCUGGAGCACCUGCUGCAGGCCAAGCGGGAGGAGCAGCGGCAGCGGUCA
This 611-nucleotide small RNA is filed under the name Pongo abelii (Sumatran orangutan). RNAcentral describes it as "processed transcript". The record is from RNAcentral. Lineage: Eukaryota; Metazoa; Chordata; Mammalia; Primates; Hominidae.